AUCAACUGUUUUCCACUUCCUGUAGUCUGACACCUGCUAGUGAAUAACUCCGGGGAUAAUUUUGAACCUGAUACAGAUUCCCAAAAUACUUCUGUUCAAGAGUGCAACUGGAGACUUUUUGAGACUGGGCUAUUCUGGACAGGACUGUCUGACUGUGGAUCUAAGGGAAUUGGACCUCUUUGAUGAAGUGGACUAUUUAUGGCGGGGAAAUAUCCUCUCAGCUCGCGCUGUGCUGACAGCCUCAGAUGAAUCACCCUCGUUUAUUCUGCUGAUGCUGCAGGUAUACGAGAGCCAGGAAUUUAAUAUGCGGCUGUGGGAGAGAAGAGCUACGGGUGCUAGAGAGGAUAAAUAAUUGAAAGGUCACACAGAGUGGCUGAACUGCUAUACGUGAGCUAUAUGAGGAGCUCAUUGUGUGUCUGUGUGUGUGUGUGGUUUCUUGCUGCAUACAUGGGGACUCAGAUAAGAUGAGGUUUAUUAGGCAUGUGUGGAUUGU
This 493-nucleotide long non-coding RNA is filed under the name Sinocyclocheilus anshuiensis. RNAcentral's name for it is "lncRNA (ENSSANG00000007488.1)". Lineage: Eukaryota; Metazoa; Chordata; Actinopteri; Cypriniformes; Cyprinidae. The record is from RNAcentral.